Molecule: long non-coding RNA, 305 nt
Organism: Alligator mississippiensis (American alligator)
Lineage: Eukaryota; Metazoa; Chordata; Crocodylia; Alligatoridae
Exons: 3
Source: RefSeq, a predicted model, not a curated record
UUGGUGGUUUGGGCGCGUCGCGGGACACAGGCAGGCUUCUGUUCUUCUCGCAGUAGCCAGGCUGUCAGCACUCCUGCUGGUGAAGGCAGCUGAAACUAGGAGCUGCAAAAAAGCUGUAGAGUCCAGUUAAAGCCCAUUCUAGGGUUUCACAAGGAGAUGGUACAUCUGGCCAGUACGCGAAUACCACCUCAUAGUUCUUGCUCAGAUCAGGAUGUCAGCAGCCUUGGAGGUUGGGGGACAAUGCCCCAAAUUGUUGUCCUGAAGAUUCCUCCUUUUGUAUUCUUUUUCUCCUGAUGACUCUUCAU